RNAcentral lists this transfer RNA (72 nucleotides) under Odocoileus virginianus texanus. It matches the Rfam family "tRNA". From Rfam's summary of the family: Transfer RNA (tRNA) molecules are approximately 80 nucleotides in length. Their secondary structure includes four short double-helical elements and three loops (D, anti-codon, and T loops). RNAcentral also lists the same sequence under 4 other names. The record is from Rfam by way of RNAcentral. Lineage: Eukaryota; Metazoa; Chordata; Mammalia; Artiodactyla; Cervidae.
UCCCUAGUGGCUCAGAUGGUAAAGCAUCUGCCUACAAUGCAGGAGACCCAGGUUCAAUCCCUGGGUUGGGAA